ACUCGCUUGGUGAAAUUAGGUAAACACGAUGGAUUUAAAAUUCAUUCUUUUUAAAGUUAUUGGUUCAAGUCCAAUAGUGAGUAC
RNAcentral lists this transfer RNA (84 nucleotides) under Dipterosiphonia australica. RNAcentral describes it as "tRNA-Leu". It matches the Rfam family "tRNA". Rfam says of the family: Transfer RNA (tRNA) molecules are approximately 80 nucleotides in length. Lineage: Eukaryota; Rhodophyta; Florideophyceae; Ceramiales; Rhodomelaceae. The record is from RNAcentral.